RNAcentral lists this ribosomal RNA (389 nucleotides) under Lasiommata megera (wall brown). RNAcentral's name for it is "partial 16S ribosomal RNA". Lineage: Eukaryota; Metazoa; Arthropoda; Insecta; Lepidoptera; Nymphalidae. The record is from RNAcentral.
GUCUUUUUGACCAUAAUUUAAAGUCUAAUCUGCCCACUGAUAAAUAUUAAAGGGCUGCAGUAUAAUGACUGUACAAAGGUAGCAUAAUCAAUAGUUUUUUAAUUGAAAACUUGUAUGAAAGAUUUGAUGAAAUAUGAACUGUCUCUUAGUUAUUAUUAAAAUUUUAUUUUUUAGUUAAAAAGCUAAAAUAAUUUUAAAAGACGAGAAGACCCUAUAGAGUUUUAUAUUUAAUUUUAUUUUUAUAAUAUAUAAAAAUUAAUAUAAAAAUAAGGUUAAUUAUUAUAUUGGGGUGAUAGAAAAAUUUAAUUAACUUUUUUUAAAAUUUAAACAUAAAUAAAUGAAAAAAUGAUCCAUUGAUUAUAAUGAUUAUAAGAAAAAUUUACCUUAGG